Long non-coding RNA from Erpetoichthys calabaricus (reedfish), 1275 nucleotides. RefSeq lists it as uncharacterized. Lineage: Eukaryota; Metazoa; Chordata; Cladistia; Polypteriformes; Polypteridae. The transcript has 6 exons. The record is from RefSeq and is a predicted model, not a curated record.
UAAAGAAUGGCUGUACAUCUACAGCAAAGAGCUGUUUUCAAAACUCAAUACAGUAAUAUAACAAAAAUACAGUAACAUACUGUAAACUAGUUAAGAUACAGUAACAUACUGGACAUGCAAGGCAUUCUGGGAUUGGUUUGUGACAAGGAAGUAAGAGUGCUGCAAGCUGAGCAGAGGUUUUAGUUCAGAAAACCACAUUAGAAUUUUUAGAACUUCUCUUACGUUCUGUUACUUAUGUUAUAGCUUAUAAUUAGUUGUCUUUUUAUCACUCUGUCUACUCAGCUCAUUUAUUUUUAAUAUUAUUCGUUUUGCACUUUCCAUUGUUGGGCUAGUCAGGGAACAACGUGUGAGGCGGGAGAAUUGAAAGUUCCAGAAACAAUUCAUUACCAUUUUGACUUGAAUGAUGUCUGAGUUACAAAAAAUAGAUUAAGCAAACCUUACUGUGAGUAAUACCAAGCCUUCCUGAGGAGUCACUCAAUCAGUCAAUUGAGAAAUGUGUAGGCUGAGGAGUAGAAGAUUUAAUGUAUGUGAAAGAAGUGGACAUUUUAAGAGUUCAUACAAUCUGUCCAGUGCCGAAAUCUGCUCAGCACCUGGAAAGAUCAUGAACAAAGAAGCAGCAUUUUGGUUCAGUAAUUAGUUUGACCUAGCUCUCCUCAAAAUUCACCACAAAUGAGCUCCUCAGGCUCCUCAGUAAGAAAAUGGAUGGACUCAUGCUUCAAACAGAUGCAUUUGCCACUUCAGCAGAUGUCCAAGGAACACUCACCUUGCCUGACACUCCUUGAAUUAUAAUUCUUGGUCAAACUCUAAGCAACCGGCAGUGGAUGACGAUUUAUUGACAUCAACCCUGAACAAAUGUCCAAAGCCAAUGAAAGAAAAGCUACAUGCAAGAAGACUAGCCAAGUAGUCCAUAACAAGAAGAACGCAGUAAACCCUCAUUUUUACUAUCCACUUUGUUAGACAAUGGACUUUGAAUGGAGUUUGGUCUGAGUUCAUCCAAGACCACUUUGUUCACUUUUAAUUUUGACAGAUUAGGCAAUUUUUGUCUAACAUGGUGUUCAUAUUCUAUUUUAAUGUGAAAGUCAACAUUGGUGCUAUUUUUAAAUUUAGUACUGAAUGCUGCACUAUGUGUAUUGCCAGUGUUUCCCACCUCUGUUGCAACCAUUUGUGUUUAUCUGAAAUAAUGAAAGACUGCUAACAAUUAAAAAAACUGGUAAUGUAAAAAGCUAAUCAAGAUCUUAAAAAUAAAUGUUUAUUGGAAUGUUUCAAAUGAAAGAA